UGGUGUUUUUAGGUCACCCUAGUAACACAACCGACAUUACCAUAGUAGCAUCUUACAUGGAAAGACAGAUCACUCCAACCUCAGGAAAAGCUGCAAGCUGCUCUACUUGGCCUGACCUCAACGACUCUACAAGGUUCCCUGUGUUACCUGAAAUUCCAGACUGGAGAAGUGUGGAACAACCAACAGGACAAUGGCCCAAACCAAGAUGGGUGCCCACACCAGAUGAUAUGUGGAAAUGUAAAAUGUUUCUACAGUGACCACUUGACAGCAACCGAAGGUUUACUAACAGACAACUACUAGCCUUCCUGCUAAGAGUAUCAUUAGUCUCUGUAACAGUAAGUAAACCCACUGCUUCUCCUGCUUAUUAGACAUGCUUCCUUCCUGUGACAUGAAUUAUAUCACCACACUGAUGGGAAGAAGAGUCAAGGGAUUUUUUUUAAUAGUUGUUUUAUCUAUCACUUUCACUGAAGCAGAAAUUCUAGACUGAUUCACAAAUGGAAACCCCAAACACCAUGCAGCAAAGCGUUCAUCUAUGGACAGGAAAUAGUAUGGGUUUUAUAGGCUAGAGUCAAGGUUAUGUCACUUCUAAGCAUACUUUAAAAGUCUGCACAGACACCUUCCUCAUUAUUCAGCUGACAAAGCUAGCUACACAUAAUAUACUUUAAUCAUAUAUAGGGUGUGCGAGCAAAGUUCAAUUUAUAUACAGUCCUUGCUACUAUAAUACUUAUAGCAUUUAACAGUGUUGUCACCAAACCACAUAAGAGCAGAAAGAAAGCAAGGGAAGGAGGGGAAAUAAAAAGUAGCAUCUCAAAUUGUAUAACA
Molecule: long non-coding RNA, 822 nt
Filed under: Coturnix japonica (Japanese quail)
Lineage: Eukaryota; Metazoa; Chordata; Aves; Galliformes; Phasianidae
Description: lncRNA (ENSCJPG00005007467.1)
Source: RNAcentral